Long non-coding RNA from Triticum aestivum (bread wheat), 331 nucleotides. RefSeq lists it as uncharacterized. The record is from RefSeq and is a predicted model, not a curated record. Lineage: Eukaryota; Viridiplantae; Streptophyta; Magnoliopsida; Poales; Poaceae. The transcript is spliced from 3 exons.
UCUCACUCUCACUCAGCUCUCUUUGGUUAGCUUCUGACUUCUGAGCAAAGAGAGAGAACAGCUAGUUUGACCACGAUUUGUACUAAUUUCGAAGCUGAAUUUGAAGUUGGUGAUGUUGAAGAAAAGAUAGAUCAUGGGAAUAACGAAUGAUCAUGCUACAACUACAAUAAUCAAAGAACAAGAAAGCAUUUCAUUGGGUCCAAAUAAACAAAAACCAAUGAAGAAGAAACAGAUGGUCCAUGGAAAUCAAAGCAACAAGCGUGCAAGGUUGGUUCAGAGAAAACAAAAUGGUGACAUUGAGUUUGCUUCGAGUACAACAGUUGACGAACAC